GACGAACGCUGGCGGCGUGCUUAACACAUGCAAGUCGAACGGAAAGGCCCUGCUUUUGUGGGGUGCUCGAGUGGCGAACGGGUGAGUAACACGUGAGUAACCUGCCCUUGACUUUGGGAUAACUUCAGGAAACUGGGGCUAAUACCGGAUAGGAGCUCCUGCUGCAUGGUGGGGGUUGGAAAGUUUCGGCGGUUGGGGAUGGACUCGCGGCUUAUCAGCUUGUUGGUGGGGUAGUGGCUUACCAAGGCUUUGACGGGUAGCCGGCCUGAGAGGGUGACCGGCCACAUUGGGACUGAGAUACGGCCCAGACUCCUACGGGAGGCAGCAGUGGGGAAUAUUGCACAAUGGGCGGAAGCCUGAGGCAGCAACGCCGCGUGCGGGAUGACGGCCCUCGGGUUGUAAACCGCUUUCGCCUGUGACGAAGCGGGAGUGACGGUAAUGGGUAAAGAAGCACCGGCUAACUACGUG
This 468-nucleotide ribosomal RNA is filed under the name uncultured bacterium. RNAcentral describes it as "partial 16S ribosomal RNA". It matches the Rfam family "Bacterial small subunit ribosomal RNA", at positions 28 to 507 of the family's 1533-position model. The record is from RNAcentral.